GACGAACGCUGGCGGCGUGCUUAACACAUGCAAGUCGAACGGAAAGGCCCUGCUUUUGUGGGGUGCUCGAGUGGCGAACGGGUGAGCAACACGUGAGUAACCUGCCCUUGACUUUGGGAUAACUUCAGGAAACUGGGGCUAAUACCGGAUAGGAGCUCCUGCUGCAUGGUGGGGGUUGGAAAGUUUCGGCGGUUGGAGAUGGACUCGCGGCUUAUCAGCUUGUUGGUGGGGUAGUGGCUUACCAAGGCUUUGACGGGUAGCCGGCCUGAGAGGGUGACCGGCCACAUUGGGACUGAGAUACGGCCCAGACUCCUACGGGAGGCAGCAGUGGGGAAUAUUGCACAAUGGGCGGAAGCCUGAUGCAGCAACGCCGCGUGCGGGAUGACGGCCUUCGGGUUGUAAACCGCUUUCGCCUGUGACGAAGCGUGAGUGACGGUAAUGGGUAAAGAAGCACCGGCUAACUACGUG
Molecule: ribosomal RNA, 468 nt
Filed under: uncultured bacterium
Lineage: Bacteria
Description: partial 16S ribosomal RNA
Rfam family: Bacterial small subunit ribosomal RNA
Source: RNAcentral